This 480-nucleotide ribosomal RNA is filed under the name uncultured bacterium. Its description in RNAcentral is "bacterial SSU rRNA". It matches the Rfam family "Bacterial small subunit ribosomal RNA", at positions 8 to 486 of the family's 1533-position model. The record is from RNAcentral.
AGAGUUUGAUCCUGGCUCAGAUUGAACGCUGGCGGCAUGCCUUACACAUGCAAGUCGAACGGUAGCGGGCCUUCGGGUGCCGACGAGUGGCGAACGGGUGAGUAAUGUAUCGGAACGUACCUUUCAGUGGGGGAUAACGUAGCGAAAGUUACGCUAAUACCGCAUAUUCUGUGAGCAGGAAAGCAGGGGAUCGCAAGACCUUGCGCUGAUUGAGCGGCCGAUAUCAGAUUAGCUAGUUGGUGAGGUAAAGGCUCACCAAGGCGACGAUCUGUAGCGGGUCUGAGAGGAUGAUCCGCCACACCGGAACUGAGACAUGGUCCAGACUCCUACGGGAGGCAGCAGUGGGGAAUUUUGGACAAUGGGGGCAACCCUGAUCCAGCCAUGCCGCGUGAGUGAAGAAGGCCUUCGGGUUGUAAAGCUCUUUCGGCCGGGAAGAAAUCGCAUGGGUUAAUACCCUGUGCGGAUGACGUACCGGCAUAA